Molecule: long non-coding RNA, 321 nt
Organism: Pogoniulus pusillus (Red-fronted tinkerbird)
Lineage: Eukaryota; Metazoa; Chordata; Aves; Piciformes; Lybiidae
Exons: 3
Source: RefSeq, a predicted model, not a curated record
AAGUCAGUGGCCAACUUCUUGAAGGGAUGAAGAACCCUUUUGAGGUGAGGGAGGCCAAGAGAAAAAGGACACUUUCCUUAAGGCAAGGCCCUGGCUCCCGAAGGGAAAAAAGAGGAUGAAAAAGCUCAUAGGAAAUGUAAGUGAUCUUUAUUGACCUGUGACUUUCGUGUAACGAUGGCCUCUGGCGUGUGACUCCGUGUGCAUUUCUUGUCAAAACAGGGUCAAAAAUAUAUGACAAUUCAAGGAAGAUUGUGUGAAGCUGAACUAAGAUCCUGUGGCUGGCUGAAGAUAAGGCUUCCUAAAAUAACUGGAUUAUCACUC